Molecule: ribosomal RNA, 321 nt
Filed under: Triticum aestivum (bread wheat)
Lineage: Eukaryota; Viridiplantae; Streptophyta; Magnoliopsida; Poales; Poaceae
Description: partial small subunit ribosomal RNA
Source: RNAcentral
AUGAUCCCAAUAACUUGGUCGUUUGCAACUUGGGGGCUCGAUAUGGUUGGACCUUUUAAGAGGUCCAAGGAUAGGAAGACUCACCUGUUGGUAGCAGUUGAUAAGUUUACCAAGUGGGUAGAGGCAGAGCCAGUCAGUAAGUGUGAUGCAGCCACGGCGGUUCAAUUCAUCAAAAAGGUGAUAUUCCGCUUUGGUUUUCCACACAGCAUUAUCACUGAUAAUGGUACUAAUCUAUCCAAGGGGUCUAUGGAGGAAUUUUGUCAACGAGAGCACAUCCGACUUGACGUGUCAUCAAUGGCUCACCCCCAAUCUAAUGGCUAG